RNAcentral lists this ribosomal RNA (495 nucleotides) under uncultured Planctomycetota bacterium. RNAcentral's name for it is "bacterial SSU rRNA". It matches the Rfam family "Bacterial small subunit ribosomal RNA", at positions 9 to 532 of the family's 1533-position model. The record is from RNAcentral. Lineage: Bacteria; Pseudomonadati; Planctomycetota.
GAGUUUGAUCCUGGCUCAGAAUGAACGUUGGCAGCGUGGAUUAGGCAUGCAAGUCGAGCGACAAGUCUUCCUUCGGGGAGAUGGAGGAGCGGCUAACGGGGUAGUAAGGCAUCGGAACGUACCUUUUCGUCUGGGAUAGCCAUGGGAAACUGUGAGUAAUACCGGAUAAUAUCUUCGGAUCAAAGGUUUACUGCGAUUAGAGCGGCCGAUGUGAGACUAGGUAGUUGGUAGGGUAAUGGCCUACCAAGCCAGAGAUCUCUAGGGGGUGUGAGAGCAUGACCCCCACCACUGGAACUGAGACACUGUCCAGACACCUACGGGUGGCUGCAGUCGAGAAUCUUCGGCAAUGGGCGAAAGCCUGACCGAGCGACGCUGCGUGCGGGAUGAAGGCCCUUGGGUUGUAAACCGCUGUCAGAGGGGAUCAAAGGAAACUUGAGAGAGCCUCAGAGGAAGCGCGGGCUAAGUUCGUGCCAGCAGCCGCGGUAAUAAGGGCGA